GGAUAUGAGAGUAAUCUGGCUGCAACAUGUGUCACCCUGCUGAGCACCAGUGUUGAUCUGGCUGAUCUGGCUGACUCGGCGAAUGUCCUCUUUCUCCCUCACCACUCCAUGUGUGUUCCACCUGAAGGUGUGCACUCAGUUGAUGAGAAUGACCUUCCCCGAUAGAGGAGGACGAUUUUUCAGUCAAGGGUAUGUGAAGAGCUGAGCUCUGCUGCUGGAACCUCCAAACAAGCUCUCAAGGUCCAUUUGUAGAAGAAAUGUAGGGUGGGCAAACUUUCAAGGCUCCAGGCACAUCCAACUGAGGGUUGCAUGGGCAGUCUGCCUUU
RNAcentral lists this small nuclear RNA (326 nucleotides) under Tursiops truncatus (common bottlenose dolphin). RNAcentral describes it as "7SK RNA (ENSTTRG00000023190.1)". It matches the Rfam family "7SK RNA". From Rfam's summary of the family: 7SK was discovered as an abundant small nuclear RNA in the mid-70s but a possible function has only recently been suggested. The record is from RNAcentral. Lineage: Eukaryota; Metazoa; Chordata; Mammalia; Artiodactyla; Delphinidae.